AAGUCGUAACAAGGUUUCCGUAGGUGAACCUGCGGAAGGAUCAUUACAAAUAAAUGCUGGUAGGAAGUGGGGUCUUGAUCUGUAAGUGGUAGAGCGAACAGUUCCCGGCUGCCUCCCGAAAUGUCUUACAUGUCCCCCAUCAGCCUGAAGGCCGAAUUACAACCCUUGAUUAAUCUACACUUGUUGCUUUGGGGUGCUCAAGUGCCCCAGAGGACACAAACUCCUUGCAUUUAGUGAACGUCUGAGUACUAUAUAAUUUUAAAAAAC
RNAcentral lists this unclassified non-coding RNA (267 nucleotides) under plant metagenome. Its description in RNAcentral is "partial contains small subunit ribosomal RNA and internal transcribed spacer 1". The stretch from base 1 to 46 matches the Rfam family "Eukaryotic small subunit ribosomal RNA", at positions 1786 to 1831 of the family's 1831-position model. The record is from RNAcentral.